CUGAUCCAGCCAUGCCGCGUGCAGGAUGACGGUCCUAUGGAUUGUAAACUGCUUUUGCACAGGAAGAAACAACAUUACGUGUAAUGUCUUGACGGUACUGUGAGAAUAAGGAUCGGCUAACUCCGUGCCAGCAGCCGCGGUAAUACGGAGGAUCCAAGCGUUAUCCGGAAUCAUUGGGUUUAAAGGGUCCGUAGGCGGUCUUAUAAGUCAGUGGUGAAAUCUCCCCGCUCAACGGGGAAACGGCCAUUGAUACUGUAGGACUUGAAUUAUUAGGAAGUAACUAGAAUAUGUAGUGUAGCGGUGAAAUGCUUAGAGAUUACAUGGAAUACCAAUUGCGAAGGCAGGUUACUACUAAUGGAUUGACGCUGAUGGACGAAAGCGUGGGUAGCGAACAGGAUUAGAUACCCUGGUAGUCCACGCCGUAAACGAUGGAUACUAGCUGUUGGGAGCAAUUUCAGUGGCUAAGCGAAAGUGAUAAGUAUCCCACCUGGGGAGUACGUUCGCAAGAAUGAAACUCAAAGGAAUUGACGGGGGCCCGCACAAGCGGUGGAGCAUGUGGUUUAAUUCGAUGAUACGCGAGGAACCUUACCAAGGCUUAAAUGUAGAUUGACCGGUUUGGAAACAGACUU
This 629-nucleotide ribosomal RNA is filed under the name Flavobacterium sp. Ri1Ps_4678. RNAcentral describes it as "bacterial SSU rRNA". It matches the Rfam family "Bacterial small subunit ribosomal RNA", at positions 383 to 1013 of the family's 1533-position model. The record is from RNAcentral. Lineage: Bacteria; Pseudomonadati; Bacteroidota; Flavobacteriia; Flavobacteriales; Flavobacteriaceae.